CAGCAGCCGCGGAAAUACAGAGGGUGCGAGCGUUAAUCGGAUUUACUGGGCGUAAAGCGUGCGUAGGCGGCUUUUUAAGUCGGAUGUGAAAUCCCUGAGCUUAACUUAGGAAUUGCAUUCGAUACUGGGAAGCUAGAGUAUGGGAGAGGAUGGUAGAAUUCCAGGUGUAGCGGUGAAAUGCGUAGAGAUCUGGAGGAAUACCGAUGGCGAAGGCAGCCAUCUGGCCUAAUACUGACGCUGAGGUACGAAAGCAUGGGGAGCAAACAGGAUUAGAUACCCGAGUAGUCCCUGUCUCUUAUAC
This 301-nucleotide ribosomal RNA is filed under the name uncultured bacterium. RNAcentral's name for it is "partial 16S ribosomal RNA". It matches the Rfam family "Bacterial small subunit ribosomal RNA", at positions 509 to 807 of the family's 1533-position model. The record is from RNAcentral.